CGUGGCUUCCGUCUUUCUCCUCCUUCUUCUCUGUUCCUUUUGUUGCGGCAGCAGGAUUUGGGUGAUCUAUUCUUCCUCUUCAUCACCUGAGCAGCGGCGGUGCGUGCGGGUUUGGGUGGCGGCGCCGUGGCCGCCCAUCUUCUGCGUGGCGGCUGUUCCUUCUCGCUGCUGAAUGAACAAUACUGAACCAGUUCAUGGACAAACAGAAACUAUAUAAAUAGUUGAUUACUAUAGCAUAUGGUGAUGUGGGAACUACGUUGUAAGAGUAUUUCUUCUAAUUUGUUUACUGACCUUGGAUGUAACAUGCAUGCUUAGCAUUGAGGCAAGGAAGUUCAGGAUAGGGAAUCUAUCUACUAAGAUCCAGUUCAUAUAGGCUGUUAAUAGUCUAGAAAUAUUGAAAAUUCUUGCUUUGUUCAUAUUUUGUCAAAAAUUAUCCAAGUUCUGGUGUAUAUUUUUCUCUUACAAGUUUUCCACCUCUCAAUGCUCUAAUUGUAUGAAAAUUUUAGUAUUUUAUAUAAACAUGUCAGAUCGAAUCCUCAUUUUCUUUGAAGUCAUGAUAUCAUUUAUAUUUAUAAAGCUCAUCCUAAAUAUGAACAAUUUGGCUUAGAAACUCAUUCUCAUGUCUCAUACUGUUAUUCUUCUUUUAGCGCCAUUUUUAUCUACCAAGUUAAGACCCCUUAGUCACAUUAUUGUUUUAUUAGAUUUUAAGGAGAGCAGAAUCACCCAUUUCUAGAUGAGUUAUUUUUUUCCAACACAACAUCUCAUGUUCUCCUUGCUCCAGGAAUUGUUGAACUAUAAUAUAAGUACAGUGGUUUCACGAGUUCAUAUGACGCAGGCACGUUCGGUUGGUUGACUCAGUAUACUUACAAUCAAUCUGUCAUGAUGUUCUUAACCAUCUUACUUUCUCUCUGUCUUAAGAUAUCAUUGUUUCUUAUUGAGUGAGAUUCCGGAUAAUGAAUUAGGGGGACUUGCCACUGUCGUCUUCACAACAUGGGUUUCCUUAACCGUUUAAUUGUUCUUUCCUAAAUUACUGUUAGUGAUGGCAGGCCGUGACACAUUGUGUUGACAUAGAAAGGAUAGUGGUUGGCAAAGUUUGGGUCCUUAGUUUUGUUAUUAAAUAAAGCUCAAUGUUUCAGCUUUGUGCUCAUGAAUUAUCAAAUAUAGUACAAGAAAGUUGUGUUGGUCAGUUGUUUGAUAACAAAAAUUAUUAUUUAUCGAAAAAAUUCUCUUACCGAAAAAAAUUCUCUUAUCCAAAUAGUUCAGGUUCUACAUAUUAUUUGUCUGACUGUCUUGGACAAACUUUUUAAAAUCUUCAUGGUACUAAAUGUUUUGAUGAAAGCAUAUAUUCAUCUAGGGGUUAUCGAGUAACCUGAUCUGUAAUGUGUUUUCUUGGAUUUUGUAUUUAGAUGUUUGCUUUCAGGUGUACACAAGGCUAGAGAAGGUUCUUUUAGGGACAAUGUGGUUAUUUAAGACUGAUCUAAAAAAACACCGUCUUAUUUUCAUCAUCUGAUAUUUUUUUAGGACUUUAGGUUUUUUUUUUAACAUUCGUGGUGCUGACUCCUAUAAUUUUCUUUUAUAACAUACUCUGUAUGUAUUUUUUUCCAUGUGCUUUACUUUUAUAGGAUUUCUACGUUAUUCAAUAUUCAGGAAACAUUAUAGUUCUUGAAGUUACAUGCAGGAUCGUUUUCCCCAUCUUACCCGUUCUUCCAUGUUUUUGGACAUAUACUGCAUCCCUAUUAUUCAGUAUUUAUCAUAUUCAAUAUUUGAUCAUCCAUCUGUAAUGGGAUCCAAAAAAAUAUGCAGAAGUUCUUGGUACCACACUAUUUGUGAGACGAUGUCUCUUAAUUAACGGAACUUCUCAAUGUUUUAAAGGUUUGUUUAACCUACCUAUCAAGAAUUUAUCCUCUUUUUCCACACUUAUUAACAACGAUCAAUGUGCAAAAUGGUAUGUGUCAUUGUUCCUUCUGGUGGCCAUUUAGAUUCCUGCAUAGAAUACAAUCAUAUUUUGCGUAUUAGUGACCAUGCAGAAGUUCUGGUUGUUUGUUAUUUAACCUUUACAUUGUAGGUUCACUUUUCACCUAUCCUUUUCUAGACCUUUUCUUCUGGACGUCUGUCUACCUGUUUGUUGCACAGCUAUGGAUCAUGUCAUUUUUAUUCAUCCCUACUCAUUUGGGUAUUAGCUUCCUUCCAUUAUUAGGUUAUGUUUCCUUUCCUAUCCAAGCACACGAGGACACAUUCUCUUUGCGGGCAAUAGCAGCUGAUGGGGCCCUUCCUAAUUAAGCCAAGGACUUAAUUUUGCAGCAUCAACAACUAGGUGGAGUUCAGGUUGAUAUGGUUCAGUUACAGAUUGUAGUUUCGCCAGAACCAACCAGCGACAAGGCUGAACUCUUGCUAUGGAUCUGAUUAAAAGCUCAGCCUGGCCAUUUGUGCAUAAUGUAUGUUUUGCUUCUCUCCUCCUGUACCAUAGAAAUUUACCUAUCUCUUAAUCUAAUACAUGUAACCAAGAUGGAGAAGAUGAUGUGAUUAUAGACAAGCUCUUUAAAAUUUGUAAUAUACUUCCUGGAAUUCA
Molecule: long non-coding RNA, 2569 nt
Organism: Lolium rigidum
Lineage: Eukaryota; Viridiplantae; Streptophyta; Magnoliopsida; Poales; Poaceae
Exons: 2
Source: RefSeq, a predicted model, not a curated record